CCAAUAAUUCCAACACACCGGCGUUUUAUGUAGUCGAAGACGACAACGAUGGCCGCCGCGACGCGCGGCACAUUACUGCAGCGCAUUUACUACCUUGCGGCCAAUCCAUCAAGUGUGUUGAUUUUUCAGCCUUACAACCGGGGUGGUGCGGCGUAAUGCGCUGGUUCAGCGGUAACCGUACCGCGGGUUUAAAGUAAACAUCAUCCAAACAAGAAAUCAAGUGAUCCUCGCAAAUCGCGGUCGCGUCUCUGGCCAUCAUAUAUUUCCGGUGCCUUAGCUUGUUUCGCUGGCAAUGGCCGUUCAUGACAAUGGGCUGAAUUUAUGAAACUAAUAUUAACUUUUUUGCAGUCAUUCUUUUAGAAAAUUUAGCUAAUUCGAAUUCGAAGCUAAUUAAUUAUAUUAUUGUUAUCUGUAAUCAUGACGAGAACGGCGAAAUAUCAUGUGCAGCCCGUUGGCAAUGGGAAUCAGGGUUAUUUUGACAAGGGUGGCGACCAGGUGGAUCGGGGUUAUGCGUGGGCUAUUUGCGCUACCGCCGGUCUGAUUUACACCAUCACUGAUGGUGUCAGCUUUUCUACAGGAGUGCUCUUCCCGGAGUUUAUGUCCUACUACAGCUCACCGGCCAAUGAAGCAGCUUGGAUCUCUUCCCUCAUGUUUGGGGCCAUGCUUUUGUCGGGACCACUUAUUGGUGUGCUGAUCAGCCGGUUCGGCGCGCGCGUUGUGGGCUUUGUUGGUUCUCUACUGGCCGCCGGCGGGAUGGUGGCUAGCUUUUGGGCACCUAAUGUUUACUACCUUAUGGGCACAUUAGGCGUUCUAACGGGUCUUGGCUAUGGCUGCAUAAUGCUAGCAGCCUUAACCAGCGUGACCUUCUGGUUUGAUGCAAAACGCGGUUUCGCCUUCGGCCUGGCUGUUGUCAUUUCCGGUCUGGGCACUUUCGUCAUCUCCCUGCUAACUGCCUUUCUUCUGGACCACUAUGGCCUUCAUGGUGCACUUCUUAUUCUUGCCGGUGUCUCCCUACAGGGCUGUAUCCUGGCCCUUCUCCUGCGUCCCGCUCCCAAACACCUUCCGGAGCCUUUGUCCCACUAUCCCAAAAAGCAUUUUGACCCAGCCAUGUUUAAGCGGGUUAAAUUUGAUAUCUUUCUGCUGGCGUGUCUGAUUUUUGCUACCGGAUACUUUCCGAUAUUUAUGUUUGUUACGUCAUGGGCGGAGCAGGUGCUGCAGUUGAACGCGGUAGAUGCGGCGGCUUUCCUGACGAUAAUUGCCGUAGCGCAGUUGGCGGGGAGGAUGGUGUGCGCGGUGUUGAUUGACCGGACGUGGGUCAAUAAAAGUUUCUUACUGGCCGGAGCGCUGUGGUGUGGAGGGGCGGCUGCUUGUUUAUCGCUGUAUUGUACAACGUAUAAAACCGCGGUGAUGUUUUGCUGCGUAUAUGGAUUUGGAGGAGGGUGUGCCAUGGUUGGACUUCCCAUGUUAACGCCUUUGUUGGUAACAAAAGAACAAACCGAAGUGGCGAGCGGCUUUUUUGUUUUUGCCUUUGGCGUAUCCGCCCUAUUAGGCCUUCCAGCCGCUGGUGCUGUUGUGGAAUAUCUCCAAGGAGACUUCCGGUGGCUCAUGGUGGGAUCGGGUGGUUUGAUAUGUGCCGGUUCCUUUGUUGUUGCAGCUAUUGAAUGCCACUGAUCAUACAUGACCAAGUUUCUAGUUGUGGUUUCCGUAUGCAUCGAAUCCAAAUACACAGUAAGAGCCAAACCAGACAGAUUGCCAAUAAAACUGCCGCCGCCUGAUAUAAAAACCCACAAUAUUACCGUCGAAACUCCAACAAUAAUUCCGUAAUAAUCUGGCGAUGAAAUGCUAGCUGAUGACGGACGCGAAGAAUUUUGAGUCAAUCCAGAAAUCACUAAAGCAGAAAUUCGGACAAUGUAGAUAUCAGUACCGUAUGAGUAAUGCGAUUUUGUGGAAAUUAAUAUUUCUACCGGAAGGUCGCUGUAAGACAACACUGCCGAGAAUGGAGCUGAUCUCGUCGUUGCUGAGCAGAUUAACCCGCUCUAACCCGUCAGAUGCAUUUAAAACGCUCCACUGCGGUCCGAAUGCCAGAUCGACGCCAAGCAGCGGAUCACUCACCGUUACGUUCGAUACCGGUGUAACCGUCGUUGUGAAGCCAGGAGUGGUGAUAUUCGUGGCAUUACUUAUCAGCCGUUCGUCUUCUAGAAGUGAG
Paramacrobiotus metropolitanus is the source of this 2206-nucleotide RNA transcript. It is a transcript of the gene named monocarboxylate transporter 3-like, with no coding region annotated. The transcript is spliced from 8 exons. The record is from RefSeq and is a predicted model, not a curated record. NCBI's taxonomy places the organism in Eukaryota, Metazoa, Tardigrada, Eutardigrada, Parachela, Macrobiotidae.